Struthio camelus australis is the source of this 3117-nucleotide long non-coding RNA. RefSeq lists it as uncharacterized. NCBI's taxonomy places the organism in Eukaryota, Metazoa, Chordata, Aves, Struthioniformes, Struthionidae. The record is from RefSeq and is a predicted model, not a curated record.
GUGACUUGACUAUCCAUUUAGUGUGUAGGGAUGAGAUCCUGGAACACUUCAGUACAUGUUUAACACAUGAAUAUUUCCAUUAGAAUCAGUGUGACAACAUGCAUGAUGAAACUUCAGCACGUGCAGUCGUGUCUCCUGGACCAGGGUUUGGUGAGCAGGAAACCAGUAACAAUGAUAAGAAAUUCCAUCGUCUCCUCUGCUUUCACAGCGCAGGUUUCCUUCCUGGGAAUCUGAAAAAGAAGAUGAAAAAUGGAAGUCAUUACAAGUGUACAGCUAAUUAGGAAACAACCCCCAAUGAUCAACAACGCCACUUGAAAGUGUCUGAAUCAGGAUUUAAAAACUCCACACAUCUGUACAGAAGAAGAUCACAAAAAUAUAGAUGCGGCAUAGGGACAUAACUGAACAACCAACAUCCUUUAUUAUUAAUGAUGGGCUAAAAGUCUCUAUGUAUGGAAAGAGAAAAUAAAUGAAGAAGACAACAAGUCCAGCAGGCAUGACCAGGCUUUACGUCUGCUACUUCAUAUUUCUUAAAUUUCCACCAGCUAGAUUUGGAAUUAAGCACCUUCAGCAAAUUCAACUUUUAUAGCCCCUCCUGUUCUCUCUACCCACCGUUACAUAUUCAUGUCAAAUAAAUUUACAUUAAGGCUUUGAUAUAUCAGGACUUAAGCAGUUGUGAACUUUCAGCAAAUGUGAUGUUUCAGGACUUGAAGCUAUCAAAAUCACAUCACUUCACACAGAAUUAUCUCUUUUUUACUAAGCACCUUUUCAUAGUGUGUACGGAUUAAUUUCAGGGUUAUUUGGUAAAUGUAAUUUAGAAACGGAUCCCAGUAUUAUAAUUAUUCAAUAAACAGACUGUAUACUCUGUAGGGAUUAAACUGUCAUACGUAUGACAGACAGAGACAUAUCUUUCUUUUCUUCAUUUUUGUUCUAUUAUUGAAAAAAACAUCAUUUAUGUGGCAUUAAACACCAUCUGGGAAAUAUAUACUGUUGACUGGAGCCCCACGUUAAUUCCAGCAGCUUUCCAAAUGAGGUCUGACAUUGCAUUCCCCAGCAAUUGCCACCAUCCUUUAGGUUUGGCUUUAUAUCAUCUUACCCUGGGUCUAUUUUUACAUCUCCCCCUCACUAGUGCAAUCAACUGUAAGUCUAGGGAAUAAAAAAGAAGUGAGGAAAGGAAGAAGGGUGGAAGGGAGGAGAAGGCGAGGGAGAAGCUGAAGGAGAGGGCAGGAAGGAAGGCGGCACUCUCUUUAACGCAGAAAACAGGAAAGGGAAAGCCGGUCUUUCCUACAGGGAGACCUUAGGGGUUUUCAGUAUGUUACCAUUUGGCCCAUGGGAUCAAUAAACACGGCAAAAAGUCUGGUGCGAUGCUUCAGAGUCAGAGCACUGGAGCACCGCAAGCAGUUACAUCAUCUGGGCAUCUUCGACCUACUGCCACGGACCUGUUUUGUGGUAGCAGUCAUUUUUUAGGAUUUAAGGGCAGGUGCCGUCAGGAUCAGUGUCGGAUGCUGCAGGAAGGGAGGGCCGGGGGCUGUCACCCCGCCGCCAGCUUGCGUGACGUGCCUGGGGCAGGCGCCUGGCUCAGCAAAGCCCACUCUCCCAGCUGUCCCGUCCCCUGCAGCUGGCCAAGAAAGCAACUCUACCAAGAAAUACAGACACAUUUCAGCACGGUGCUGGGAGUGCGCAAACUCCCAGGCCAUGGCAGGCAAGGGACAGAGGCAGCAAUGUCCCCUUAGUCGCUACUUGUGAAAACAUGUAAAUUAACAAAACAAAAGGCAACAUUAACCUCUAAAACUCAGCUUUAAAGUAUGAGAAGGCAAUCUGAAUACAGAGGAAAGAAUGGAGUGGGAUACAACUUAAGCCUGUGUUUAUGCUUGUAGUAAUUACAAGAAUAUUUCCUACCUUAUCGUGAGCUCAAAAUGUGAAGUAUUAAAUUUGCUGGCAAUAAAAAACUACAGUGAAAUGUCAGCACAGGUCAGAAAAUAAGGCACUUAAAAGGAUUUGGAUGAGGACAAAUCAAAUAUUUUAUUCAUAGGAUUUAAGACAAAAAAUUUACUUUCUCAGGACACAAAUCCAAGGCAGAACAUUUACUACAACUUUAAUAACACUGUUCUCUAACAUACAAAAAAAUACUUUGGAAUUACUGUGCUAAAACUCUUAACAAGCAUCAAAUGAUUUAGAAGCAAGCAUAAAAAAUGGAACGGAUAAAGAAAUAUGAAAAGUAUUUCAAUAUUACUUAUAAACUAUGUUAUAAAGCUGUCUCAAUUAAAAUUUCUCAUUAGCUUUUGUUGGGCCAGGGGUUCACAGAUUCAGACUCAUUAUCUGCAAUAAUACAGAUUCAUUAGAUUUUCCUAAAAAAGUCAUCUUUCCUCUGUUAUUGGUUGUUCCUGUCAUGAGCUCAGCUUCCAUUAGCCCUUCCUUGUACUUGUCAAACUCACAGACGUUUGUACAAGUCAAAAGUCAUUUUUUAUUAGGAAGAAAGGCUAAUGCUACUUUACUGAAAAUAACUGCAAAAUUUUAACCGGAACAUUUUCCUUCACUUUUUAUGAAGAAUUAAACUAUAGUAGUUAACAUAAAAAUGACUCACAGAACCUAGCAAGUUUUUUGGGCUUUUUUUUCUUUCCCCUCAGAAAAACUACAUUAGCCUGUCAGAAGCUCAACUUCCAGAAACGUUUUCAGCAGCGGAAGUAGCUCAGCAGAGAACAACCAGAAUGAAUUCAGGACUUACUAGCUGUUCAAGACCAAUUUUCCACAUUAAAGACGAGGUAAAAGAGAAGAGUUAAGGCACCAAAUUGUUGAGAAACAGAGACUGCAAUGAAAUAAAUCCCAGCUCAAGAAUAAAGAAAAAGCAGAUGCAAACUUACAUGUGAAAACCCUUCAUGCUAAAGGAAGUUCAUGCACUUUGUGGAAUGAAACACCAAGAGCAGCGAGCAGAGGAAUAUCUGGUUUGACAGGUGAGUCGCAGGAGUGCGGAGGUCAGAAAUAUGGCGUGAGGAGAACAACAGCUGACCCAAUGGCCACAACAGACCUCGAAGGGCUUCCUGGACUCUUUCUGCUUUCAAAUUUCCUAUGUCCCUAUGAAACUGGCUGUCUUCAAGUAGUUUCCCAGGGCCUGCAAUUCAU